UACCGCGUUAGUUCUGCUGUUUCGGUAUAAAUAGAGUUGCGCGAAACCGCACCUUGGCGUCGUAGACAAGAAGCCACUAAUGUUAUAUAUACCUGUGUAUGUAUGUCCAAUUUACCUGUGUGACGUCAUUGAUGUAUGUGUUCAUAUAUUGUGUCGUUUUGGUUGUGGUCAGUUUUGUUCGUGUUUGGCGGGAGUUAAAUAGAGGCAGCCAUUGCCGACAGGCGGACAGAUGACUUUGUCGUUUUGGUACAGAUUUUAGUUGAUACAUUGUCCUGGUAGUCCAGACGAAAGUCUUACUAAGACCCUUGACCCAUUGUCAGGGGUCUUUUGAAUGACAAAGCUUUGUAAGCAAACACCAUAAUGCGCGCUAGCGGGUGAUUUAAGUAUAUCAAUAGAAAUCUGAG
Long non-coding RNA from Mizuhopecten yessoensis (Yesso scallop), 404 nucleotides. RefSeq lists it as uncharacterized. The record is from RefSeq and is a predicted model, not a curated record. The transcript has 3 exons. Lineage: Eukaryota; Metazoa; Mollusca; Bivalvia; Pectinida; Pectinidae.